Drosophila yakuba is the source of this 980-nucleotide long non-coding RNA. RefSeq lists it as uncharacterized. NCBI's taxonomy places the organism in Eukaryota, Metazoa, Arthropoda, Insecta, Diptera, Drosophilidae. The record is from RefSeq and is a predicted model, not a curated record. The transcript has 2 exons.
AUUAUUACUCAAUUAGGUCAGCGCCAUUAUAAUUUAAGCACCCGGCACCAUGCAGAUAAUUAAGCGAGGGCGAAAUGAAAUCAUUUCCAGGCCGCGAAUGAAGUCCUGCCAACGAGACACAACGUCCCGCGACUUGGCCUCGUCCUUUUCCGGAACGGCGCCUCUGCGUUUCCGUUCUGUCUGAGGGCUAGGUCAUUAGGGAUGGUUUGUGUGCAAAUUUGAUUUCACAACAUUUUCGCAGUGUGCGUUGCUCAAACUUUCGGCUUUACGAUGCACAUAAAUUUUACGACCAAGUUCAAGUUGUAAAUAGUUGAUAAACUCGGCUAUCCGUCGAAUCCAAGCCAUAAUGAAGUGACAAGGGGGAAAUAAAGGACCAAUGGAAGAUAGUUAUUAAGCCUUAAAAAACAAACACACUGAAGAAGAGUGUAAAUAUCCCACUUUCAAAUCCGUUUAGAAUUUGUUUUCAUUACUAUUAAAACCCAACCAGACGUCAAAGAUAUAUCUGGGGAGCGUACAACCCCCAGACGCUGUGAUCUAUAAUUCCAUUAAUUUUUGUGAAAGGUGUUCCAAUUGAAACCCAACAGAGACGGAAGCAAUUUGAAUGUCAUUAGGUGUGGCCACGCGGGACGCAGCCAGCCAGGAAGCGAGGCUAAGUAGGAACCACACAAAAAGACAUUCGACUCCAUAUCUGAUUGAAUAAUAAUGAGUGCUUAAGGAUUUAAUGCGCUCCCGGCAGCUGCUGGGCCCCAGACAUCGACUUCAACUUGGGAACAGGCAUGUAGGGAACAUAGCCUGAAAUAAAAGUAGAGCUCUAGUUGCUUGCACCGAAUUAGAGAUACCCGUAGAUUAGUCGCAACCUUUGAGUAUGUAGUACAAUAAAAAACUAGACUAAUUUAUAUAAUUAUAUAAAUAUUUGUUAAACAAUCUAAAACAUCUAAGAAGUGGAGUGCUAUAGUAAUAAAAGGGUAUAAAUAGCUAAA